UACAACAAAUAGAUUUUAUACAUGACUUCCAAUGAAAUCUAUGAAACAAAAAAUUGUAUGUAAUGUAUGAAAAAAAAUUUAAUGUAUGUAUGUGAUGUAUCAUCUAUGUCAGCUAUUACAUGAAUCCUCAAUAGGCUUGACUGUGAGGCGCGUACUAUUACACCAUGCCUCUUGAGUCUUAGACUCAAAUUUGACAUUUCUCUUUUGAUUUAAGUAUUGUUGUUGUUGUAUACCACCAAGAAGAAAAAAGAAAUGAAAGGGAAUGUUGAAAAAAGAAAGAGUGGAAAAAGAAACGUCAAAAACGAGUCUCAGAAUUUUGGCCCACGACUCUCCGGUCGGAUAAUUUUUUGUUUUAUCUUCUUUCUCUUUUGCGCUCAUUAGUUUUGAAAAGAGGCGCGCCUCUUGAGGCUUCAUGUAAUAGCUGACUAUGAAAUAGAGCCCUGAAUCUAUUAAAUCGUUGAAAGAUCAACUAUAAGGGCCAGUUGUACAAAUUGAGGGUUAGCCCACGGAUCAUCUGAACUCGAGUUAACUCUUGAACCAGGUUCAACUUUGAUUGGGUUGUACAGUAGUGGAUCAAGCGAGAGUCAGCUGAACCGCAGUUCAGGUUUAUAUACAAGAAAAUUUUAGUAUAUUUAUACCUAAUGUCACUGUCAGUUGUCCUUAUUUUAUAAGGACAAAGUUCGUGAAAAUGUUUCGUCCAUCUCUCAAUUGUGAUUUGGAAUAAAAUACACAAAAAUAAAGCAUUAUUUUGUUGAAAAUAAUCUUUUGCCACUCCUAAUGGCGGCCGGACGUUCAUCAAGUGGACUAAUCAGGACGAGGAAGAUUCUUGGGUGGUUGUUGUUUUUGUUUUUUAUUAUGUUUUGUUUUAUUUUUUUUGGAGAAAAUUGUACACAGAGAAAAAAUAAGCAGGGAUGACUAUGCUUCUGGUAUAUUUAACUUUAUUUCUGGUAUAUUCAACUUUAUUCUGAUUAAAUAUACUAGAAGUAAAGUUAUCCCUGGCGUAAUGUUUUCUCCGUGUAUAAACAUUUAUAAAAAUUAAUAAAGUAUUAAAAAAUACAAAUAAAAGUGGUAAA
Long non-coding RNA from Episyrphus balteatus (marmalade hoverfly), 1073 nucleotides. RefSeq lists it as uncharacterized. The record is from RefSeq and is a predicted model, not a curated record. The transcript has 2 exons. Lineage: Eukaryota; Metazoa; Arthropoda; Insecta; Diptera; Syrphidae.